AGGUAUAUUUUAGUGUCAGUAUAUCUUUGAGCAGCGGACAAAACAGUUGUUUCAAAUUUUGUAACUACCGUCGUGAUGUCUGCGUGUAUCAUAACAAAAUAGUAAUUUAAUUUGUGACGGUAAUUGUAACUAUAAUUUAAGUUAAAUUAUUUUAUAAUUCACAAACAUAGUCCUGAGUGAGUACUAUUUACAACAAUAUAUUAACUACAAGAUUGUGUGCGAGUUUUACUAGCUCUUUUGUUUUGUGUAAUUUCGCAAUUUUUUGAGAGUUAUAGUACUACUGAUUGACAUGAACAAGAAGAUCACGGCUGUCUCGUGGUUAUCUCGGCCCGCUUAUAACUAUAAAUCCCGCUGAUAUACCAGUUUCACAAUUGUGAUUGUUACGCAAACUUCAUCCAUGGAUUGAAAAUUUUAAUUAGGUGGAAACUCGGAUCUCUUGCCUGCUUUCCGAGCGGACAUUAGCGGGCAUCUCAAGCAUGAGUUCGAACAGCGACAGUUCUUUAGAGCUCAUUGAGGACGGGUCCCCUCACUCUUUGCUGGAGCCACCUUCUCCGGAUUACACGAAUGUCACCAUCAGACGGGCUUUCAUCGUGUGGAUGCUAUGCGGUCAGAAGAACAAGUUCAGGGAUGUGUGCAACUACUAUCACAGAUUGGAGUUAUUGGAGGAACAACUUCCGCCGAAUAAGCGGGCGACCAGUCGUCACUACGAAUUCAACAUGAUCAACAACCCGCCGCCGAAGUCGUCCUAUUUAAAAGCAUAUUUCCCGACACUGUAUCCCGGAGGAUUCGCGCACGCACACGACCAGACCGACACCCACACAAACGAACGCUGCGAAUUCAAUAUCGGCGACUUGGACGAGAUAAAGAAACGAGAAGGAAUCACUACUGAAGACGUGGUCCAAGCCAGCGUUAUGAUCCGGAACUAUUGCAAGUCGCACGCAAUCUCCUUAGACAAAUUUUUGGUUGAGUUCAAAGACAUCGCCCGAAAAACUAACCUAAAAAUUAAUGUGAACAACGUCGUAUUUUACAUCAGGAGACGCUUGGUCGCUGAAGAAUUGAAGCUGGCUCUGCUUUGUCCGCGUACAAUGCACAUGCUCGACGAGGAUUCCUCAUGGAAACACGUAAAAGAUAUCACGAAGUUGAUCAGAGGGAAAAUCCAAGUCCCGAAGAGCCUUCACAACGAUAUGAUACAGAAGAAAUUGAAAAUUUUGACCGAAAACAUGAAAAUUGAGAACGAAUUAGUAUCGAAAAAGGGCAAAAACGACUAUUAUGACAUAAACGACAUUUUUUCGAAUAUGAAAAAACAAGUGACGCCCGUUGUUACUAAUGUUUUCGGAUUUAAUAAUUAUUCUCAGAAGGACUCUUACAAGCAUAUGACUGUCCAGAAGGAUUCUUACAAACAUAUCACUGUAGACGACUUAAUGAAGAAUUACAAUAAAAUCGGCGUAGGCAGCAACCAUAAGUACACAUUUAUGAACAUGACAAAGUUCGGAAGGAAUUGAAACGAGUGACUUCAUUUGACACUAAUGACAUUUGAUAAUUUUAAUUAGCGCGCCAUUUUAAAUAUAAUAUUGUAGACAGUGAAAAAAGUGAAGAGGCACAUGCAGGUACCAACCUAAUGCUUCGGAAUGACCGCUAAAAUUCUUAGAACACUAGAGAAGGGGCAUUAUAAUUUCGAUAAAUAUUUUGUCGGUGAAACAUGAUAUUUCAUAUUCACAUAAUAUAUUAAAUUAUAAAUAUAAAUGUCUUCUGCUAAAUCUUUGACUUGUAAUUAAAUCUUCAUUGAGUCAGUAAUUAUGCAAUUAAAAUUGUUUUUCGCUUCUAGUUGUCUUUUUUGUGUUUUCUCACGAAAUUUGGGGAUCAGUGUUUUCUGAUUACAAUUCUGAAUUCUGAUCUGAAACAAUUCGCCAUUAAAGCGCGAUUAUUAUAGGUAUUAGGUUUUAUGACUAAUGACAUCUAUCUAUAUAUAUAAAAAUGAAUUGCCUUUUGUUAGUCUCACUAAAACUCGAGAACGGCUGCACCGAUUUGGCUAAUUUUGGUCUUGAAUUAUUUGUGGAAGUCCAGGGAAGGUUUAAAAGGUGAAAAAAUAUUAAAGCGCUCGAAUUUUGUUUUUCCUUUGAUGUGUUCUCCGUCGGACGGAUUGCUUUUAUUUUAUACAAAAGUUUAGGUCUUUUAUUUAUAGAUUGAGGCACUACAAAGCCUGCCGGGUCAGCUAGUUCAAAAUAAAUUACUCUUUUGUUGUACAACACAUUUAUCGAUAAACCAAAACAUCGAUAACAUGACAUUACUUAAAGGACAGUCGGUCACUGCAUCCCAACCCAAUUCAUAAUUUGAAUUCAAAAUAAAACUCGCUUCAGUUUGGCGCGUACGCUUGCUUCGUUUGGAUGUUCUCAAAAUGACGGAAAGUCAAAUGUCGACCCCGGUGAAUACGAUAAGCAGGGAAAGCUUAAAAGUGUUCAUCACGAAUAACGUGUUCAAGAAACCGCUGGAUUUCAAUUCUGAUUGUGACAUGGACACAGAGUCGCCAUUAAGAAAACCUAAUCUGCAACCGAUCACCAGAAGGUUAUUCCAUUCGCCGAUAACGAAUGAAGACGAUUGUCCUACCAGCCCUAAAGGCAGGCUGGGGAGGAAACGGAAGCGAAAGAAUUCAGCCGAUUCUAGUGACAGAAUAAAACGGGCCUAUGUUACUGAAUGUCAGCAAAAUGACAGCAGUGAGCGCUGCACGGGCAUGAGGAGACGCGUGCUGAUCAGUCUAUUCCACAAUAAGGAAUAUUUUAUGGAUGUAAGCAGUUGAAAUCGAGUACCACAUUGAAGGCCGAUUUAGUGUUAAUUGACCACCAAAACCCAUAGAUACCAUAACUGGUAUAUACAUAUGUGCUGGUAGCAUCAUUAAGACGAACAUAUCUACUGUUGCUGCUGGAAGAAGCCAGCAUGCUUCUGCGACCUUUAUCAAAUCGUCUCCGUUCUAUACUAAGCUUGUUUUUGUCCAAAGAUGAUUAUCAUAGUAUUUGUAAAUGCUGUGAACCUCACGGUGGAUAACAAAGGAGUCUAAAGAUUAAGCCACUGAAGGCUCCGUGGCUCAUUUGACCAACAUUUCCGACGUAUUCAUCCCACUUCCUGAUGCUUAUGCUCAAUAUUUUUUCAAUAUGUACCGAUCGCAUGAUCAUAUUAAUGAGCCGCGUUAGCUAACUAGCUAGUUUUUUAACCGACUUCAAAAAAGGAGGAGGUUCUCAAUUGGACUGUAUGUUUUUUUUUAUAUUUGUUACCUCAUAGCUUUUGACUGGGUGAAUCGGUUUUGAUGAUUUUUUAUUAGAAAGCUGACGCUUCCCGUACAAUUUAGUUACGCACGGCUUACAAUAAAAUUUAGUCCAGUUCUGAUCAUGGUAUCUAUGAGAAAACCAUAUAAGUCUUAAAUUAGCAUUAAGUACGUGCGCGACAAAUAUAGGUAGAUGAAUAACUCAAUAACUCAAUAUCACGCCAACCGAUUUCGAUGAUUAUUGUUUUUAGUGUAUAUUAAUUUGUUUUGGAAUGUCUUUUUUUUUCUAUUUGAAGUAGGUUUUUGUUAAAGCAUGUCUAUUUACAAUUAUUAUUAGAACUUUGGCUAUUAAUCCUGAAAAUUUUAGGUAUGUGUUUCGUUAUAUUCCUAUAGAUUUAUUGCAGUCCGGCAGUGGCCUUAUGGGUUACCGUGCAUCAAUUGGUUACAGGACUGGGACAAGUGUCACAUUGUUCAGUUCGCCUAAAGCUAAAAAGCUCUGACCACGAAGCUAGCUCGCCAGUCAAGGUCGAUAGUCUGUUUGUUAGUCUUCUUGAUCGUUAAUUAGUUAGGUUAAGAGAUAUAAAGUAUUGUAAUUAAAUUUGUUCAAAGACAUCAGUUUUCAAUAUGAACUUUAACUGUAUUUUGAAAACGUUAAUUAAUUAACUUUAAAAACUCUUAAUUGGGUACACAAUAAACGUUGUAAUUAACUAAGUACUCUUAAUAUCUUCUAGGAGUGUUUUAUUUGUGAUAUUAUAAGUAGUAGCUAUUCUUAUGUCUAUAUUUAAAAAAAUGCUAUUAAUAUAAUGUAAUCUUAAUUUUAAUUACUACUGUAAGAAGUCAACAUGCGAUGUAAUCUUAUGCGAAAUUUUUAUUAAAAUAAAUUACAGAACAUCAUUCUAUAG
Molecule: RNA transcript, 4158 nt
Organism: Bombyx mori (domestic silkworm)
Lineage: Eukaryota; Metazoa; Arthropoda; Insecta; Lepidoptera; Bombycidae
Exons: 5
Source: RefSeq, a predicted model, not a curated record